AUUGAACGCUGGCGGCAGGCCUAACACAUGCAAGUCGAGCGAGCGGCGGACGGGUGAGUAAUGUAUGGGGACUGCCCGAUAGAGGGGGAUAACUACUGGAAACGGUGGCUAAUACCGCAUACUAUCGGAUAACCCAUAUGGGAUUCGCUAGUAGGUGGGGUAAAGGCUCACCUAGGCGACGAUCUCUAGCUGGUCGGAGAGGAUGAUAAGGCACACUGGGCCUGAGACACGGCCCGGAUCCCCAGGGAGCCAACAGGGGGGAGUAGUGCACAAUGGGCGCAAGCCUGAUGCAGCCAUGCCGAGUGUAUGAAGGAGGCCUUAGGGUUGUAAAGUACUGUCAGCGGGGAGGCGUUACCAACAGAAUAAGCACCGGCUAACUUCGUGCCAGCCGCCGCGGUAAUUC
Molecule: ribosomal RNA, 403 nt
Filed under: uncultured bacterium
Lineage: Bacteria
Description: partial 16S ribosomal RNA
Rfam family: Bacterial small subunit ribosomal RNA
Source: RNAcentral